RNAcentral lists this ribosomal RNA (30 nucleotides) under Solitariphaedusa miyoshii. RNAcentral describes it as "Megalophaedusa miyoshii partial 5.8S rRNA". Lineage: Eukaryota; Metazoa; Mollusca; Gastropoda; Stylommatophora; Clausiliidae. The record is from RNAcentral.
GGAAGACCAGAAAAGAAAUGGAAAACUUUG